CGGAGGAUCCAAGCGUUAUCCGGAUUAUUGGUUUAAAGGGUGCGUAGGCGGCCUGUUAAGUCAGAGGUGAAGACGGUAGCUCAACUAUCGCAGUGCCUUUGAUACUGAUGGGCUUGAAUAACUAGAGGUAGGCGGAAUGAGACAAGUAGCGGUGAAAUGCAUAGAUAUGUCUCAGAACACCGAUUGCGAAGGCAGCUUACUAUGGUUUAUUGACGCUGAGGCACGAAAGCGUGGGAUCAAACAGGAUU
This 248-nucleotide ribosomal RNA is filed under the name uncultured bacterium. RNAcentral's name for it is "partial 16S ribosomal RNA". It matches the Rfam family "Bacterial small subunit ribosomal RNA", at positions 526 to 779 of the family's 1533-position model. The record is from RNAcentral.